AUAGGAGAGUGGGAUUGAGUUACGUGAAAAGUAAGAAGUUUUCAGCAUUUCUGAUGUUUUUUUUCCGGACCUGAUGGUGUGGCUGGAGAUUUGGGAAGUGUCUCUAUUUACUGGUGAACCUGUAGUUUUCAGCAAGAACUGAUGCACUUCAGUGUUUGAAGAAAGAGGUUUGCAGAGUGGCGAGGUUGUGUUGAACAAGUACAGAAUGCUAAUCUUUUUUCAACUUGUUUUUAGAAACAGGGAAUACAGGAUAAAUUUUGCUCACUUUGGUGCCAAAAUGAAUUCAGCUGUGGUGAUUUAAGAAGGAGAAGGACUUGGCAUGCUGUGUGCAAGUUGCAGGCUGAAACAAUUAUGUGUUUUUAAAAAAAUCAUACAUAGAACGUAAUUCUGUCCAAGUCUGUGGAAUUUAAGUAAUUACAUUUUCAUCCUCUAAGUCUCAGCUUACAAAUGUAAAUAUAUGCACAUUUAGAGUUCAGCCUUGCUAUGAAUAUUGCCAGCAGGAACUUGCCACUGGCUUUCUGGAGCUGAUAAAACCUGCUUGAAUGUUCAGUAUCUGUAAAACAAGGAAGGACUUGGUGACUGGCUGAGACUAGGACUCUGUGAGUGCAAUGGCUGAAGGAGGGUGAAAUUGCACAGAGAGGAAAAAAUCAUGAUUUCAUAGCAUGCUGUCUUUGUGAUCCACUUAAAGGGAGCAGAAAAGCCCUUGAUAGAAGUAGAAUGCUUUUUGAGCUUCUGCUGCCACUGAAGUCAAUGUGUUACUAAUCAGGAUGCCACCUCCUCAUACCAUCCCCAUGGACAUGUCCAGCUCAUUCCUACUGCAGAGCUCUCCAGAGACCUGGGCAUCCAUAGCGUUGACAGCAGCAGCAUUUUUCAUGGUGAUGUCUUUGUACCUACGGGGAGAGCAGAAAAAGAUGAGACUGCGUGGCUGAAUGUGGUAAGAGAGCAGCUGGGAUACUUUGGAGUGACACUGCUGCUUGAGAUCUGCUCCCAGGCUGAGGACAGAGCAGCACUGAUCAGGCAGACAUAUUAUGCAGAUGGAUGGGCAUGGAAAAGGGACUAGGAUUUUCCCUCUGGAGACCGACCUCUUAUUGAGAUUUAUUGACGUCAGAAGGAUUGCAUAAAUACAGCCUUUAAAUCUUCAGAGGGUGCUCAUUGAAGAGUUUAACCAGGGGUUUUCUCGAGUUUUCUCUCACCAUCAGCAGUAUUAAAAGAGUUCCUCAAUGUACUUGUGAGCUAGGAUGGAAUCAGAAAUAAAAACAAGGAGUGAGUAGAAAAGCA
RNAcentral lists this long non-coding RNA (1278 nucleotides) under Numida meleagris (helmeted guineafowl). RNAcentral describes it as "lncRNA (ENSNMEG00000017153.1)". The record is from RNAcentral. Lineage: Eukaryota; Metazoa; Chordata; Aves; Galliformes; Numididae.